This 255-nucleotide long non-coding RNA is filed under the name Panicum hallii. RNAcentral describes it as "long non-coding RNA (PHAL_LNC000052)". The record is from RNAcentral. Lineage: Eukaryota; Viridiplantae; Streptophyta; Magnoliopsida; Poales; Poaceae.
GUUAAUGUGAGCUUAUCCAUGCGGUUAGGCACUCUUCAAAUAGGAAUCCAUUUUCUAACUGGCUUUCAUGCUUUAGUGAGUCGUCUAAGAUCCUUUCGAUGACCUAUGUUGUCUUGAAGGGAUAUCUAUAUGAUCCGAUCGAUUGCAUAAGACCCGCAGUAGCAAUAGAAUGGGGAAAGUAUACAGAAAAGACAGUUCUUUUCAAAUUCGAUUAUCUAUAUAUUAGUUCAUUUCUAUUUCUAGAUAUCUAUUUCU